UCUACAGAUCAUCUUUCUCAUCAGAUCCUUCGCCGCAGCAGAAACAGUCCUAAAAAUCCGCGGCGGAAACCUCAGAUUCCCUCUUAUAACGGCUUCAAAUAUCUCCUCUACAGUCUCGCCGUAAAAUGGCGGGAUCCCCGCCAACAUCACAUACAAAACGACGCCAGCGCUCCACACAUCAGAUUUCUCAUUAUACUCCCUCCCCAUGACCACCUCGGGCGCCACAUAAUACGGCGUUCCCACCACACCACUCAUCGUCCUCUCCUCCCCAAGCCAAUCGGCCGAACCAAAAUCCGCCAAUUUCACCCUGUUUCUCGAAUCGAACAAUAUAUUAUCUGGCUUUAUGUCCCUGUGAACGAUAUUGAAUCUAUGACAAUGGGCAAUCGCAUUUAACAACUGUUUCAUAAUGGAAGCGGAUUUCCCCUCGCAUAAUCCGCCAUUACUCUUGUUGAUCCGAUCAUAAAGAGUAUACUGCUCGCAAAGCUCCAUGACCAUGGUGAGGGAGUCAUCAGUAUCAUAGACGUCGUGGAUCUGAACAAU
This 540-nucleotide unclassified non-coding RNA is filed under the name Hevea brasiliensis (rubber tree). Lineage: Eukaryota; Viridiplantae; Streptophyta; Magnoliopsida; Malpighiales; Euphorbiaceae. The record is from RNAcentral.